UACGGAGGGGGCUAGCGUUAUUCGGAUUUACUGGGCGUAAAGCGCACGUAGGCGGGCUAUUAAGUCAGUGGUGAAAUCCCGGGGCUCAACCUCGGAACUGCCAUUGAUACUAUUAGCCUUGAAUUAUGUUGAGGUUGGCGGAAUAUAACAUGUAGCGGUGAAAUGCUUAGAUAUGUUAUGGAACACCGAUUGCGAAGGCAGCUGGCUAAACAUAUAUUGACGCUGAUGCACGAAAGUGUGGGUAGCGAACAGG
RNAcentral lists this ribosomal RNA (253 nucleotides) under uncultured bacterium. Its description in RNAcentral is "partial 16S ribosomal RNA". It matches the Rfam family "Bacterial small subunit ribosomal RNA", at positions 524 to 776 of the family's 1533-position model. The record is from RNAcentral.